Molecule: long non-coding RNA, 8123 nt
Filed under: Sorghum bicolor (sorghum)
Lineage: Eukaryota; Viridiplantae; Streptophyta; Magnoliopsida; Poales; Poaceae
Description: long non-coding RNA (SBIC_LNC011729)
Source: RNAcentral
CAGCCAUCUGGAUCAACAAAAGAGGCGAUCUUAGUGUUGAUCCCAGGUAGAGGUCCUGGCUGCCGCAAAAUCUUGCCACCUAGUUCUUUGGUUGCCAAAUCAACUGCCUCUGCACUCUUGUACACAUCGUUGGUGCCAAUGGCAAUCUGCACUUACUAGUCAAACAAUUAAGCAACGCCAAAAUAUUAUUAGAAAAAUGCUGCUGAUAAAAGAUUGCAAAGACCUGAGCAUAUGCAUUGCCCUUGCUAUAUUCUGUGACUCCAUAGUUGUAUAUCAACUCCAGAGCAGUUGUCUUGUCCUCUUCGGCAUAACCCAAUUUGGCAAUGGUAUGCUGUAUAAUUCCGAAAAUGUUCAGUCUACUAAGCUGAAAGAACACUACAUCUAAAAAAUUGCUUGGAACAGCAGGUACCUUAUAAUCAGGUACAUCCUUCUUCGUUAGUAGCUUCAUCCCAAGGGCCUGCAUGGAAACAAACAAUACAUCAUCAUGUAUGAGAAUGAGACUGCUCCUCUAGAAGAGAGACAAAGGAAUAUUUAGCAUCUCCAACUUUUGUAAUACCCAGCCUUACAAAAGGAAAAAAAGAACCUUCUCAUAGAACUUGAUAGAACGCUCAAGAUCACCAACACGAAGCAUGACUUGGCAAAGAGGGUCAUGUAUCUCAGCCCUCUGGAUAAGGGCAAACCUGUAGCCAUCAGGGUCCUGUGCAAAGGCAAUAACAGUGGAUCCUCCCUUGACAGGACCAGGUUCACGAGUGAUAUUGCCACCCUUGGAUUUAAUAUGGUCGGCCAACUUGUACACCUGCAUUUGCAUCCAUGAUGUCAAUAAAAAAAAUGCAUUUAUCAUAUCAUAUGAACAUAAUUUUGCAGCAUCGACAUAGGCUAUUGCAAAUUGAUGAUACUUGCAUCCUCAUUAGCGAUUCCGAAAUGCCCAAAGCCCUCUCCAAUGUCAUACUUGUCAACACCAUAGUCUGUUGAACAAGGGUGAACUUUUUAGCACAGUAGAAGUUACAGAAAAUUGAAAUGCUUUACCAGGAAAAGAGUUGGUCAGUUCAUAUAAGAGAUAAAUAUAUCCUUCCUUAUUGCAUCCAAAAAAUAUAUCCUUCCUUAUCAGGUUGAUACAUAUUGUACAACUGCAAACAUAAGUGGCAUAUUGGAGGACUGUGCCACAAAUUUUUUGGCAGCUCAGUGAACAUACUGUAUGUCAAUUCAAGUGCGAAGUUGGUGUCCUCUGGUCCAAAGCCAAGGAAGGCGUUGGUGUACUUCUCAUCAGGAACAUCUCUUUUCCUCAGCAGCUUCAUCCCAAAGCAUUCUGUGUAGUACCUACCACAAUGAGAAAGGUCCAUCAGAACCAUGAUAUUACUUGCAGAUGUUGCAAAUGUCACUUAGAAUAUAGCAACAUACUUAAUCGUGCGAUCCAGAUCCCCGACACGGUAAACCGCAUGGAGCAUCCUCUUGCUGUCCUGUUUAUGCCACCCAAGCACAGCCUCAGCUGGCUUUACGGCUUCACUACCAGUUGCCAUCCCUGAUGCAAGAGUUGCACAUUUAAUUAAAAAAGGGAGGGGGGGGGGGGGGUAAUCUUGAUCAAAUUGUUGAGGUGUCCAGAUUCCAGAUUAUGACCGUUGUGUCAUGUAUGCACAAUUCUGGCAGAAAAUCAUAUUGCUUGAAGACCUUUUAUCAGUACAUGGAAGUGGAAAAUCCAAUUAGUCAAUGUUUUCCUCUUCUCUGAGAAUUAGAAAUACCACUCUCUCCUACAUCUCUUAUCAUACAAAUGGAUCAGUGCUCACCUGACAGAACUCAAGGUGAAUACAUCUCCUUUUUUUCCACUUUCCCCAUUACACUCCCAAUCCCAAAGUACAUCUCUAUUGGAAUCUAUAUUGGAAAGACAGCAGCAAAAGUCGCAGCUCAACCAAAUCAAGAUGCAAGGCUCCCCAUGCAGAACUUUGGUGAUGCAUUAGCCAUCCAUUUGAUGGACAUACAUAACCGGAAAAAAGAAGAAGAUAAGAUGGGUGGGCCUCCCUGCUCUUACAAAGAUCCUCUUGAUGUCUGGCAAUCUAAAAUUAGACUCUUGAGGAUGAAGGCCCAAAGGUGGCCUUUAAAAGUAAACUCUAAACUUAGAGAGGAUAAGCAUCUGUUUGAAAAUUUGCAGCUUUCAGAUGUGGAAGCUGAUAGAAUUAAACAUGUGCUGCUGCUGUUUUGUGGAGCGUCUGGAAACUGAGGAAUUCACUCUGUUUUCAGGGAGCAAUCUGAAUACACUUGCGCUUACACGCUCUGAACUCUGAUUGUGACACUUCAAUAAUGCUCGUGAGAUAAUAAAGCGGGGGAGCAAGAGAUUUGCCUAAUUAUAUUAGAAAAACUAAAGAAAAAGGGGAACAUUUUCCGUAAAUUAAAAAUGAAGAUGGAAAGCCCUGGCAAGAUAGGUCCUGUAAAGAUAGAUUAUCUUCACAGGGCAUCGAAGUGCAAACCCUCCCCCAUUUCAGCAUUUGGGACGCUCACCCUGGGUUGGAUUCCGUCGGCGACGGCUCUGCACAGCACAGCAGUGUCCACUCCCCUGUUGGCUUUUUUUUUUUUUUUUUUGACAACCCCCUGUUGGCUUUGGGCUUUGGCUUCCUCCUUGUCCUCGCAAUCAUCGGGAGAAGAAAACGACGCACCUAUAUACAGCCAUACAGGCUACCGCCCGCUACAGUGGAGUAGUGUGUACACUCUACGGUCCACACAGGGGGAGGGGAGGAGAGGAGCCCAACGUGCCACACGGCGAGAAAGUUCUUCGGACAUUUUAGUGUGUUCUUUUUCUUUGAAACAAAAAGAUUAAAAAAUAGGUUAUUUUUCCCCUUUUUUAGAAUAGUUAGGGUCGUCUAUAUUUCAGAACAAAAAAAUUUUCACCUUAUUAGGCCUUGUUUAGUUUUCAAAAAGUAGGCAAAUUUUUUUAAAGAUUCUCUGUCACAUUGAAUCUUACGGCAUAUAUAUGGAGCAUUAAAUAUAGAUGAAAACAAAAACUAAUUGCACAGUUUGUCUGUAAAUCAGUUUGUCUGUAAAUCACGAGAUAAAUCUUUUGAGUCUAAUUAGUUUAUAAUUAGAAAAACGAAAAUACUACAGUGUCCCAAAACAAAAAAAUUAAGAACUAAACAAGGCCUUAGUCAAUGCUAAAAAUAAAAAUCUAUCUAGAAGACACGAAAAACCCUAUCUCUCCUCCCUAUGGUCAUCUCUAUAUUGCAAUAGAGUCUAAUAUCAUAGGAUAUUCAAAAAGUGUUUAGCUUACAUUUAUUACACACGGACAUAAACACACAACAUGCACAUCCAUCCCUACGAACAUCACUCACACACUCUACCUCUUUGAACAUUUUUAAAGGAUUAAACCGAUAAAAUUUUAAAUUAACAAAGUCACGGUAAAAAUCUCUAUAGAUAGAUCACUUAGCACUAAAAAUUAUCAUUAUUAAAUCCUAAAAUAAAUUUAGAAAAAAUAUGAACAUUCAUAUCAAGCAAAUGAUUUAAAUCUAAAUAAUAUGUAUAGCACAACCAUAAAAAUUGAUAUGGUAAUAACCGAAACCCUCAAAAACCGCCUGCCCCGCUCAUUCCGUCGAACACCUGUUGCGCCGUCUCCUCCUCGCCGACGCACUCCCUCCGAUGCGCCGCUUCUGCCACAUCCCUCGCGGCCGGCGAGUGGCCACAGCGCCCCACGACCACCAGCCACUGCCGCCACCGGAGUGAAUCGAGCCGUAUCCGGACCUCGCGGACCCGAGCCCGUACGCCUCCGCCUCGGCGGCCCCGCCCACACCAUCGCCGUGGCUGCCAUCUACACGGUGUAGUGGUGAUUGGUGAGGAAUGAUUCCCGGUUAGCCUCUCCUCUCUUGCGGCCUCGCCGCUCUGUUUCUGCGGGACGCCGGAGGAGACUCGCUCGCUUCGCUCGACGUGAUGGCGCGAGCUCCGCGGCCGUCUCCGGCGGUGCCCACCCUGCUCCGCCUCCUCUCUUCCCAUCCCUCCCUCUCCGCUACCGCCGCCGCGCACGCCGCGCUGCUCAAGUCCUCCGCCCUCUCCAGCGCCGUCCCGAUCGCGGCCACCGCGCUCCUCACCGCCUACGCGAGCGCGGGACACCCGGGCGCCGCGUCCCGCCUGUUCGACGAAAUGCCCGCGCGGGACGCCGUCGCGUGGAAUGCGCUCCUCGCCUGCCUCGUCCGCCACGCGCGCGCCGGGGCGGCGGCUGCCGCCACCUUCCGCGGCAUGGCCACCUCUGGGGUCCCGCCCACGCCCGCCACGCUCUGCACCAUGCUCAAGGCGUGCGCCACGUCGCGCGCCGCCCGCCCUGGCCGCCAGCUCCACGCGCGGGGUGUCGUCUCGUGCCGCGCCGACGCCAACGACGUCGUCGUGGCCACCGCGCUCGUCGAUCUCUACAUGAGCUGUGGUCUCGUCGAGGACGCCAUGAGGGUGUUUGUGCUCACGAGGUGCCCCAAGGAUGCUGCCCUGCACAAUGCUGUUCUUUCAGGUUGCGUGGAGAACGGAUGGUUCAGCGACGCCUUCACCAUGCUCAGGCGACACUCCAUGGAGCUCGAUGGGGUCUCGCUGACCUCUGCUCUCACGGCCUGCGCAGCGACAGCGAACCUGGCUUACGGUAUGCAGCUGCACUGCAAGGCUCUCCGUGGUGAGUUUGAUUCUGACACCAUUCUAUGCAAUGCGCUCAUUGACAUGUAUGCAAAAUGUGGGAGAGCAACGUCUGCGCGUAUAGUAUUCAACCGGAUGGCUACCAGAAAUGUGGUCUCCUGGUCAAGUAUGAUUGAUGCUUAUAGUCGCCAUGGACAUGGCGUGGAUGCUUUGGAUUUGUUUAAGCUAAUGGAGAAGGCUGCACCAAUGGUCUUGCCAAAUGCUAUCACAUUUCUGGCGCUUCUGUCAGCCUGUGCACACACUGGUCUGGUGGAUGAAGCUCAGUCCAUGCUGCAUUUGAUGAAGAGCAAGUACGGGAUUGAUCCACAGCCUGAACACUACGCGUGUCUAAUAGACAUGCUCGGACGUACAGGCCGUAUUGACGAGGCUUGGGAUCUAUAUUGUAGUCUAACUGCAAGUAGAAAUAAGUCUUCCAGUGCCAUCUGUGUCGCGAUGCUGAACGCGUGCAGAGCAAACAUGGAUGCUGUAAGAGGAAAGAAGGUGGCUGUGCGCAUGCUGGAGGUUGAUCCACGAAACCCUAGGAUUCAUGUGUUGAUUUCGAAUUUUCAUGCUGCUAUGAGACAAUGGUCUGAAUCAAAUGAAUCGCGGAGGAUUAUAGUGGACGAGGGUCUCAGGAAAGAAGCGGCUAGCAGUCAUGUCUGUUUUGGUUAACAACUAAAUGUGCACAUAUCUUGAAAACAUUUGCCACAGAGUGUUGCAGAGAUUGGUUAGGAUACUGUGGUAGCCACAAAACAGGUCCUUACCCUAGGUACACGCCACGACCGGUAAUACCGAGAAUUUUAGUGCCGAUUUUGAUUUUGUCAGCAUAGUGUACUUUUUUGACAGAUAAAAAGAUUGAAAAUUGUUGGUGUAUAUAUAGUUAAUUAAUCCCAAAUCAUGCAGCUUCAUCUAGCUUACUUGGCAUAUCAUCACUUUGGUUGAUGUACUCACUGUUUGCUAUGAAGGUCGUUUUUUCUUUCUUUCUUUUGUGAUUCUUACCUCCUAAGGCUAUAAAAUCUUUUUCCCCUCUGCUAUAUCAGCAGAAAUGAACACUCUCUGGUCUUUCGUUUAUUAAAAAGAACUGACUUUGUUCAGUUUGACAUGAUUACAGUGAGCCUGAAUUUUUGUUCUCUUACAUUUCUGUUUCAUACUGAGGAAGCCAUAAAUAAUGCAUGAGAAUGGAUGUGAAGAAAUAAUUCAUCUCUUGGGAAACUAAUUUGAUAUGUUUCAUCCCUCUUCUUGGAUUAUGGGUUCAGAAAAAAUGCGGAAUCGUCAUGACCUUUAUAAAUUUACACGCCAAUUUUUGUGUCAUGAGUUGGAAUGGUCAGUGGUCUCUACUGUGUAUAACAGAAGUAUCCAACAAACAAGCAUAAAUACUUUCUGAAGUUGGAUGUGAUGAAAUACAAAAGGUUAUUGCUCGCAAAAAAAGGAAAAAAAAAGGUUCUUCACCUGCAGUUAGUCUGUGUACGUGGUACUGGUACGGAAGCCGGAAGCGGAUCAAGUUCCGCGCUGUGAUAUUCAUCUUGGUAAAGAACGACAAUUGAUCGAUCAAAAGCUCUCAAUAGGUUAUCAGUCCACAUGAGUACUUGACCUUAGUUUUCCUAUUCGUAGUAUAUGCAUGGUUUGAACCUCUAGCAACAGAGAACUGCUGUUGGUUGAUUAAUCCUUUUUUCCUGCACCGCCCAGAAUAGAAAAUUGGCUGGGGGUUCAUCAUUUAGUUCAGAUGGCGGCCUGUUUUCAAAGAAAGCAAGAGCUCGAUGACAGACGUGGUGCCAUCUCAAACUGUUGCAGAUUGUCCUGUUGAGAAAAAUUACUGCAUUUUUUUUUCAAAAGCAGCACAUACAUGAAGCCUUGAUUUAUUUGCGCAACCAUUGGCAAUCCAUAGCUAGAAAAUAGAGCCUGCCCAAGAUGAUUUUCCACAAAACCAGCAAUAUCAGAGCGAUAUCACAAUGCGAUCCAUCAACAGACUCAUUGGUUGUUGAUUUCACGUGGAGCCCAAUCAAAGGAAAUCGUAAAUUUGGCGAUCUGUAGCUUGUUGAAGUUCAGUUCAGGCAGCAGAAAAGGGUGCAGAAAACACGCUAGCUUUCAAUAACUAGAGCACCCAAAUUAUGCUUCAUUGGCAUCCGAACUGGCUUUCAGAUCUUUAAAUCGCCUUGUUUAGCAUCGAUAAUCAGGCAAUGGGUAAGUUUGCUACCUCAGCCUUGUUUAGUUCUAAAAAAUUUUAGAGAAACGACACUGUAGCACUUUGUUUUUAUUUGACAAACAUUGUAUAAUCAUAGAAUAACUAGGCUUAAAAGAUUCGUCUCACAAUUUACAGGCAAACUGUGUAAUUAAUUUUUAUUUUUAUCUAUAUUUAAUGCUUCAUGCAUGUGCCGUAAAAUUCGAUGUGACAGAAAAAUCUUGAAAAGUUUUUGGUUUUUUGGAAUGAACUAAACAAGGCCCUCCUAUAGAAUGUGGAUGCAUAAGGUGACACGAAGAAAAAAAAAAAGGCAUCAUAGAAGGAGCCCUCUUUGGCAGGCUUCCAGGUUGCAUCACCUGUAGCGUCAGUUUGAGCUUCACUGGCUCCUACAGUGUAUGAACAGUGCCAGAAUUGUAGCACCCCUUAGCCCUGCCAAAUAAGCCCCUUGAUAUGUUGCUACAUGGAGCAAUUGCAUUUAGUAGCAGGCACAGUCACAUAACAAAUCCCAAACCUCACUGGCAGAAGCACAACCUCUGUAGCAACAUCCAUUAUUAUCAGUUCAUCCAGGCGGAAACAAACCACUCACAUCUUAUUACAUUCACAGACAAGCAUUACUACAUCCUAGGACAGCAACUGGGUAUCCCGGUCUUCAGUGGAGUUCCCUGAGGAAGUCGGUGUUGUCAACCAGAACCUACAAUGUUAAGGAUAAAAUGUCACAUAUAGGUAUACAAUCAUUUGAUUUUAUGAUUCAUUUGAUUUGGGGGCUGGGUUACACAAAACAAACACAAUAGUCAUGAGAUGACAUGAUAGUGCAGAUAAAGAUAUUGGAGCUAUAAUUUAGCUUCCCAGUGUACACCCAUCACCCAUGGAACAGAAUCCUGAUUUCGAUAUGGCUAGGCUUCACAGGUGCAUCAAGUUUAAGCUUUGAAACUAUGGUAGCGCCAAAGUUUAUGCAAAGCAUUAAUCAUUUCAUUGUCACCGGCUCUUGAUUUGAAGAAAGCACUAGUCAAUUUAACAGUUACCUUUUUUAUUUUACGCGAAAUUUAACAGUUAACUGUACAGAACAGAUGGAAGCAUACCACUUUCCAGCCAUCUGGAUCAACAAAAGAGGCUAUCUUAGUGUUGAUCCCAGGUAGCGGCCCUGGCUGCCGCAAAAUCUUGCCACCUAGUUCUUUGGUCGCCAGCUCAACCGCCUCAGCACUCUUGUACACAUCGUUGGUGCCAAUGGCAACCUGCACUUACAUAAGCCAAACAAUUAAGAAAUGCCUAAAUAUAAUUAGAAAAAUGCUUCAGAUAAAGAUUUCAUAAAGACCUG